This is a non-coding RNA of Drosophila melanogaster (fruit fly), 612 nucleotides long. The record is from Ensembl. NCBI's taxonomy places the organism in Eukaryota, Metazoa, Arthropoda, Insecta, Diptera, Drosophilidae.
AAGAUAUGGCAGACACAUCAAAUCGGACAGGGACAUAGGCAGCGGCUGCUUUUGUGUCGCUUUCCUACUGACAACGACAGGUGGUCGUUGGCCCAAAACACAUUCAUACGCUCACAUAUUCAUACAUUCGUACAUUCAUAAAUGCCGCCGCGAUAAAGCGCAGCAGUACCAGAAGUAGCGGCUGCCUACACGGCGUAUGCGUGUUACGCCUCGAAAGGAUGAGAGAUGAGAUGAUCGCACAGGUUUCGCCGCAUAAUCUGGCUCUCGUAUGGGAGCGAGAGUGGAACCUAUGUACAACAGCAACAAGCCGGCAGAAACGAUCGCAGGCAGCCGCUGAACAAUAGAUGAAACGUGGACGAUUGUGCCAAAGUACGAAUGUGUCCCUUCCCGUUUUGGUGAAAUGCAUUGGUGCACAGCGAAAAACAUCAAAAGUGAACUGACAGAACUCAUUACCUAAUUCCACUUCCAAAGAAACCAAUUUAAAGCGGAACAGGUGCAAGAAUGGCAUGUUUGAUUUUAUAUAUUGUGCGACUCCGAGGAACAUGAAUAAGAUCAUAACUUUUAAACUGAAAAUCUUACAAAGCUAAUAAAGAUGAGUACCUUUCAUAUGUA